This 441-nucleotide ribosomal RNA is filed under the name uncultured bacterium. RNAcentral describes it as "bacterial SSU rRNA". It matches the Rfam family "Bacterial small subunit ribosomal RNA", at positions 954 to 1392 of the family's 1533-position model. The record is from RNAcentral.
GCAUAACGCGAAGAACCUUACCAAGGUUUGACAUCCCCUUGACAGAAGCAGAGAUGUUUUCUCCCCUUCGGGGGCAAGGGAGACAGGUGGUGCAUGGUUGUCGUCAGCUCGUGUCGUGAGAUGUUGGGUUAAGUCCCGUAACGAGCGCAACCCUUGUCCUUAGUUACCAGCACGUUAUGGUGGGCACUCUAAGGAGACUGCCGGUGACAAACCGGAGGAAGGUGGGGAUGACGUCAAGUCAUCAUGGCCCUUACGGCCUGGGCUACACACGUGCUACAAUGGUCGGUACAGAGGGUUGCCAAGCCGCGAGGUGGAGCUAAUCUCACAAAACCGAUCGUAGUCCGGAUCGCAGUCUGCAACUCGACUGCGUGAAGUCGGAAUCGCUAGUAAUCGCGAAUCAGAAUGUCGCGGUGAAUACGUUCCCGGGUCUUGUACACACCG